Molecule: ribosomal RNA, 254 nt
Filed under: uncultured bacterium
Lineage: Bacteria
Description: partial 16S ribosomal RNA
Rfam family: Bacterial small subunit ribosomal RNA
Source: RNAcentral
UACGUAGGGGGCAAGCGUUGUCCGGAUUUAUUGGGCGUAAAGAGCGUGUAGGCGGUGUGUCACGUCGGCCGUGAAAACCUGCAGCUUAACUGUGGGCGUGCGGUCGAUACGGGCAUCACUGGAGUUCGGUAGGGGAGACUGGAAUUCCUGGUGUAGCGGUGAAAUGCGCAGAUAUCAGGAGGAACACCGGUGGCGAAGGCGGGUCUCUGGGCCGAUACUGACGCUGAGGAGCGAAAGCGUGGGGAGCGAACAGG